RNAcentral lists this ribosomal RNA (396 nucleotides) under uncultured bacterium. Its description in RNAcentral is "partial 16S ribosomal RNA". It matches the Rfam family "Bacterial small subunit ribosomal RNA", at positions 523 to 918 of the family's 1533-position model. The record is from RNAcentral.
AUACGAAGGGUGCAAGCGUUAAUCGGAAUUACUGGGCGUAAAGCGCGCGUAGGUGGUUUUGUAAGUUGGAGGUGAAAGCCCCGGGCUCAACCUGGGAAUUGCCUCCAAAACUGCAUGACUAGAGUACGGUAGAGGGUAGUGGAAUUUCCUGUGUAGCGGUGAAAUGCGUAGAUAUAGGAAGGAACACCAGUGGCGAAGGCGACUACCUGGACUGAAGGUGCCACUGAGCUGCGAAAGCGUGGGGAGCAACCAGGAUUAGGUACCCGGGGAGUCCACGCCGUAAACGAUGUCAACUAGCCGUUGGGAUCCUUGAGAUCUUAGUGGCGCAGCUAACGCAUUAAGUUGACCGCCUGGGGAGUACGGCCGCAAGGUUAAAACUCAAAUGAAUUGACGGGG